Molecule: ribosomal RNA, 423 nt
Filed under: uncultured Faecalibacterium sp.
Lineage: Bacteria; Bacillati; Bacillota; Clostridia; Eubacteriales; Oscillospiraceae
Description: bacterial SSU rRNA
Rfam family: Bacterial small subunit ribosomal RNA
Source: RNAcentral
UGGGGAAUAUUGCACAAUGGGGGGAAACCCUGAUGCAGCGACGCCGCGUGGAGGAAGAAGGUCUUCGGAUUGUAAACUCCUGUUGUUGAGGAAGAUAAUGACGGUACUCAACAAGGAAGUGACGGCUAACUACGUGCCAGCAGCCGCGGUAAAACGUAGGUCACAAGCGUUGUCCGGAAUUACUGGGUGUAAAGGGAGCGCAGGCGGUCCUGCAAGUCUGAUGUGAAAGCCCGGGGCUCAACCCCGGGACUGCAUUGGAAACUGUGGGACUUGAGUGUCGGAGGGGCAAGUGGAAUUCCUAGUGUAGCGGUGAAAUGCGUAGAUAUUAGGAGGAACACCAGUGGCGAAGGCGGCUUGCUGGACGACAACUGACGCUGAGGCUCGAAAGCGUGGGGAGCAAACAGGAUUAGAUACCCUGGUAGU